This is a long non-coding RNA of Equus asinus (donkey), 2156 nucleotides long. NCBI's taxonomy places the organism in Eukaryota, Metazoa, Chordata, Mammalia, Perissodactyla, Equidae. The record is from Ensembl.
AGCAAAGCAGAUUUAAAAGAGCCCGUAUUAGGGCCGGCCCGGUGGCACAGCGGUUAAGUUCGCACGUUCCGCUUCAGUGGCCCGGGGUUCGCCGGUUCGGAUCCCGGGUGCAGACAUGGCACCGCUUGGCAAGCCAUGCUGUGGUAGGCGUCCCACAUAUAAAGUGGAGGAAGACGGGCACGGAUGUUAGCUCAGGGCCAGUCUUCCUCAGCAACAAAGAGGAGGAUUGGCAGCAGAUGUUAGCUCAGGGCUGAUCUUCCUCAAAAAAAAAAAAAAAAAAAAGAGCCCAUAUGAUCCAUUGCUAUUCUUGCUGUACUUGUGUGAAUAAUUGGGCCAAGUUUAUUAAAACUAGACUUAUUUUGCAAACCAAUGAGUCUUAAUGUCACUAUCUUUGGUAAAAAAAAAAAAAAAAAAAAAAGAGGGUGAUUUUAGAGAGAAAAAUUAUGUUCCGGUAAAAACUAUAACACACAUUUGUGGAUAAUAGAUUCUAGCUCUGUUAAUUGUCUUUGAGCUUUUUGUUUCCUGCCUGUAAACCGGACUGGAUCCUGAAUCCUUCUAGUUUCCUCCAAUAUCUGAUACACAUCAAACUAACGUUUUCCGUUUUUUCCAUCCUUUUCACUUGAAGUCAUUAAAAACUGAAGCCACCCUUUUUUCCCGAGGCCCUGAAAACUGAAACUGGACGGCUUGGUGUAAACUUAAGAGAGAUCACCACGAUGGCCCAUGUUUAGAGACUCUUCAUGUGUGUUGCUGUAUAGGCCACUUAAAAGCUUUAUCUGAACACCCAAUGACAUCAUCAGAGACAUUGCAAAAUGCAAAGGCUGUUUCGACCCUGACAUCUGGAAAUCUUUUUGACUGGCCAUCCCCUGGGCUGAGAAAUUAACUUGUAAUUGGCUCCAACCAUUAACCUUGUUUUUCUUUUGUUCGUCAGAUUUCACUUGAGUUUCCAGGCCCAACCUUGAUUGGUUUACAGGCCUCUUCUCUUGGAUUCCCUAAGGAUUGAGAUCCAUUAUGGAGGGGAUACUAAAAUUUGGGCUGUGGGCUGGCCCGGUGGCACAGCGGUUAAGUUCGCACGUUCCGCUUCAGUGGCCCGGGGUUCGCCGGUUCGGAUCCCGGGUGCAGACAUGGCACCGCUUGGCAAGCCAUGCUGUGAACAACAGGAGGACUGCUGCUAAGAGAGCAACUUGCUGACAGCCUCCCUCACCUGACUAAGGAUUGCACAGCGGUGUCUGGACGCCACCCUGCCACUGGCAAGCCACAUGAUGCUGACUCAAGCCACCACCUACGUUCAGCCCAUGCUGCACUCUGAUGCCUCCUACACGGGACUGGAUGGGGCCCAAACAGCCGAGGGGGCACUUGGGCAUCAAGGGACCUGAAUACUCCCCAAAUUGAUCAAAGGUGUCGCCCUGGCAAACCUAUGAUUAAGAGGGGGAAAUGACAAAAGAAAGAGAUAAGAACGAGGCCAGAGUCAACGUGACCCCCUCAAGGCUGAACUAUGGGCAGAAAUAAAAGAUUACAUUUUAACCUCCACUGUCACCAGGACGGCCGGAGAACGAUGCGGUCGUUUUUCCCUGCAGUUAGAACACUUAGAAAGCCCCGGGCACAAGACAAACUGUAGCUGGAAAGGGUGGCCGAUCAGAGCGGGACUCAGCCCUAACGUUGCAUACUCUGCACAUUUUUGCCUUUCCAACCUGGCCACCCCGAGACCGGGGGGGGUGGGAGGCGGGGGGUGCUCACCUAUCAACUUGCGAGUUGAGGCAUACUUCCCUGGUUUGCAAACGUUUAAUAAAGCUUCUCUUUUCUUUAAAACUUAUCUUUGCCUCAUCAAGCUGCUCAUUUGGGUUAACACAGCCUCUUAAAACAAAAGAAACAAAGAAGCAAAAAAACCCAGUAAGUUUCCAGACAAAUGACAAGACAAAGGGAAAGGACUUUGAGUUUCUGGGGUGGCAAACCGUGGAAAGGUAAAUAUGUGGGGAAUGAUGGAAGAUAAGGGCUAGUCACCAACGUUUGUUGUGCAGAGCCCUCUGGUGCCAGUCUCUGGGCUGAUAAGGGUCUAGAGUUGUCGGGUGAUUAACUUCUGUACAAAUUUGUGUCCUGCUUUUAGGCAAAUAGGGGAGAGGCAGAGAGCUUUUCUCCUGUCUGCUUCAGCUCAAAGUAAU